GCGUGAGCCGCGGUAUACAGACUGACGCCUGCCCGGUGCCGGUAAGUUAAGGGAGGCGGUUAGCCCGUAAGGGUGAAGCUGGCGACCGAAGCUCCGGUAAACGGCGGCCGUAACUAUGACGGUCCUAAGGUAGCGAAGUUCCUUGUCGGGUAAGUUCCGACCUGCAUGAAUGGCGUAACGACUGGACCACUGUCUCCACGAGAGACUCGGUGAAACUGUAGUUGUCGUGAAGAUGCGACAUACCCGCAGCUAGACGGAAAGACCCCGUGAACCUUAACUGCAGCUUGGUAUUGGGUUUAGGCCCGGCAUGCGUAGCGUAGGUGGGAGGCCGUGAACCCCGCUUCUCGGAGCGGGGGAGCCGUCGAUGAAACACCACCCUUGCCGUGCUUGAAUUCUAACCCGGUCCGGUGAACCCCGGCCGGGGACCGUGCUAAGUGGGCAGUUUGAUUGGGGCGAUCUCCUCCCAAACGGUAACGGAGGAGCCCAACGGUCCCCUCAGCCCGGUCGGCAAUCGGGCCUCGAGCGCAAACGCAGAAGGGGGCUUGACUGCGAGCCCGAUGGGGCGAGCAGGUGACG
Molecule: ribosomal RNA, 576 nt
Filed under: uncultured bacterium
Lineage: Bacteria
Description: bacterial LSU rRNA
Rfam family: Bacterial large subunit ribosomal RNA
Source: RNAcentral